GUGAUCACAACAAAAGCGAGCUGGCUCCUCUCUCUCAGGUUUUAACUAGCGGAGCAGCUGCUGCUGAAAUAACUGGAUCUGAGUCAGCACUGCUAACGAAGCAGAGGUCCAGAAUUCUUCCAUUGUUGUUCUCGACAUGGUUGAUCUGUUCAAGCAGACUGGUGCUGUACGAAUCUAAUAGGGAGACUGUGCAUGUCAAAAGUGUUGAGUGAUUGACAUCCAGGUACAGAAAUCCUAAUCUCGAAGGUCUCCAUUUGAUUGCAGAACGCAUUGUUGCGAUCGAAUCCGUGUGAACGGUCAUCGAAGCUACAUCAUGGACGCAGUCAGGUGGUACAUAAACUGUACACAGAAAUAGUAAGUGAUCCAGCACCUUAAUUUCAACCCACACUUGUUCGACGCUUAGCCAAGAGUCAUUUGGAAGGAUGCGGGGUCUUUGCUCACGGCGGAUGGCAAGCAGUACUCCACCUCCAGAAGUUUUUGAACUGUUUAACUGACAGCGAUCGCAGCGAAAAACAUCGUAACUCUUAUCAAAUACCUGAGUGGAUGUGGUACGAUCGCUUAACCAUGUUUCGAUAAAUCUGUACGUGUGGCAACGUGUGCAGGGUGCGGAUCUCAGGCGAACUGUCGCAAUCAUUUGAGACUCACAGAGGACUUCGACAAACGAUGAACUCUCAUGUCUGAUCUUCAACGUUUGCUGAAUGGUAUUAUGCGGAGAGUGGAUUGCCUAGAAUGCCUUACUACAGCAGUGCAAAGAUGGUGUUCGUAUCGAAUCCGAUGGGAACAAGAAGAGGAGGAACCCAGCGAGCGAAGUGGUUCGACCAGGUGGAGCAGGACGUGGCAAUAAUCGGUGUGACCGGGAGUUUAUUUGUUUAAAUUAAAGUUCAUCUGACAGGAUCGUCUUAACGAAGUAAGAUAAUUAUAGAUAGUAAAAAAACACUUUUUUUGACGUAGGACUACGUCUAACCGGAAGAUAUAGGGGGUGAAAUGGAAAUCUAGGCACUGAACAAGUAGGAAAAAAUGCAAGAUUUGGAACGCUUAUAACUCGAGCAUUUCUCAAUAGAUCGCAAAGGUUUUUGCAUCAAUUGAUAGGAAAUAUAUCUACGCAUCUAUCAUAAAGAAUAACAUUUCAUUUUUCUUGAGAUAAAUUGUCAAAAUGCACUAUGUGCCCAUUUUUGAUUGGUCCAUUUUGUGCUCCUCAAAUCGUACCGACCAAAACGGGCAACCAGAGCAGCAGCGAAAUAGAAUGAAGCACGAUUGAAAAGGAAAAAGAAAAAAAUGAACGAAACAUUGGUCGCAGUCUCACACAUGCGUAAUUCUCGGCUGGCUCGUCAGCUUAAAAAUCCCCGCUCCGCUGCCGUAACGAUCAUUCUCAUUCAAACCGUACACCACAUCGGUUCGCAUCACAACACAUCAACAAACCAACCCAAGCAGCCAUGUCUGGACAUGGUAAAGGAGGAAAAGUGAAGGGAAAGGCAAAAUCCCGCUCGUGUUGAUCUGGAGUUCCCCGCAAGGGUUGCUAGGCCGAGCGCGUUAGUACCAGUGCACCAGUCCACCUAGACGGCGUUAUAUAGUUUCGGCCGCCGAAGUGAUCGAGUUAGCUGGCAAAGCUGCUCGCGACGAUAAGAAAACCCGCAUUCGGAACAGAACACAUUCGGUUCGGUGGACAUCAAGACAACAGGCAGUUGCAGCGAGUGGCGAGUGGCAAACGCAAUCGCAAAACGGCAUCAGGUAGCAGAAGAAAAAAGUUUGUUCUUUAUACAAACUGCUUUGGUGGCAAAUCCAGAACAAGGCGGCAUCGAGGGCGUUCGAAAUGGUUUUUUUCAAAACCACGAGUACUGAGUUUUCUAAAUUGGAACCAUUCCAUAAAACAAGGCGCUUUUCAGGGCCAUUAAACCUUCCAAAAAAGAGUUUAGGAAAUACAGUUCAAUGCUUUCUAAAACAUUAUCCAAAAAAUAACAAAACACAAAUUGAUUUUUUCAUCAUUUGUUUGCCAGGAUCUGAUGAGUAUGUGAAUUUUGCAGUUGUUCUGAGCUUAUUGAUUUUCACCAAUUCUUAAAUUGCUUCUUGAUUGAAAGUACAGUAAUUUACACUUAUCUCGACAUUUAGCUAAUUGGACGGACCUGUAAUGCGACAUAUUUAGUUGGACAUUUUUGUAAACAUAGAGUUCGGGGUCCAAAUUAUGACCCCACAUUGAAAGUCGACACUGUACCACUGUCAUCGCAAAUGUUCAAUUACAGGUUAAAAUUACCUCCAAUCCGAUACUGAGUGGUGGUAAUGCGACGUGCCAUUGAAUGUAAUUUACUGUAAAAUAUGUCACAAGCUGGAUGGGAAGAAGUUUUCCAACUGUGAAAGCUGUGGCGAGUGGCAAAUGCAAUCGCUAAACAGAAAGGUUUAGCCGAACAAGAUGAGUAUAUCGAGUGAUAACAAAACAAUAAACUCUUUAGAUUGAAGAUAAUUUUGUGAUCCUGAAAAGGGCCCUUUUUAGCCUGCAUGUGAAUCCAACGAGCGAACAAAUCAUAAUGAAUGUAUUUUUUUGCCAUCGCUCCUUUUUAACGCUCAUUCGUUCGUCUCGUUGGACUCGCCCCUCUGGCUGAGUCUGCCGAUUUGUCUCUAUCCUGUGAGUGUGUACCGCUAGAGUAUAAAACACGCGGACCCAAAAAAAUAUCUUAUUUUCUUUCAAACCGUAAACCCGUGUGGUUGUACGGCAUCGGCAUCGUGGACGUAACAAAGGAGGACAAGUUAAGGGAAAGGCAAAGUCCCACUCGAAUCGUGCAGGUGUGCUGUUCCCUGUUGGUCGCAUUCACUGAUUGCUCCUCAAGGGUAACUAGGCCGAACGGAUUGGUGCCGGAGCACCAGUAUACCUAACAGCGAUUAUAGAGUUUCGGCCGUCGGAGUGCUCGAGUUGGCUUGCAAAGCUGCUCACGACAAUCAGAAAACCCGCAUCAAGAACAGAGCAGCUUCGGUUCGGCGCUCAUCAAGGCAACAAUUAGUUUCAGUGAGUGGCAAAGUGUUUCUCCGGCACGUCGCAUUAAAUGUAAUUUACUGAACCACAUGUCACAAGCUGGAUGGGAAGAAAUUUUCCAACUGUGAAAGUUGUGGCGAGUGGCAAACGCAAUAGCUAAACAGGAAGGUUUAACCGAACAUGAUGGGAAUAUCGAGUGAUAACAAAAACACAACACCAAAGGUUCUUUUCAGAACCAUCAACAUAUUCAUAAAGAGUAAACAGUAAACUAAUCCAUUUUUCAGGUAGAUAGGUAUUCACGUAGGAGAAGAAAAUAAAACAUUAUAUUUAAAAUAUAUAUUUAACAAAAGCUGUCUCCUUUGUAUAGUCCUACGUCACUCCGGUUAUGUCCCCGACAUUACCCACCCGUCUUUUUUAUUAAUCCGUUUAUUUUUACAGGCUCAGUUACAUAAGUUUAAAGGAGCCAUACUCCUGACUAUAUUUCUACUAGCAUACAUUAACAUGUCUCCCCAAUUCCAUGGCUAACAAAAUAGGAAACCGACCACUCGCGGUCGCCUCGAGUUCAGAAGGGUGACACACCUUCACUAGGAAAAGGAUGGGAUGCAAGGAGACGUGUUAACACUCACGCUCACACUCACAUUCACACUUCCACUCACACCGACACCUCACACUCAAUUCCCAAAACCAUCCCUACAUCCAACAUGCAUCCACAAUCCAACCCAUUCCAAUGUUAGUAGGAUGGGAGCCGAUAGCUCGCGAAGGACAAAAAGGAGGGGAAAAGGAUGUAUGAACAACACUUGGGACACGCAAUCAAGGUCCAACCGAGCCAACACACCUCUCACCGGAACACUGAGCUGCCCUCCUUGAGCCCGAAGGGAGCUUCCCAAACUCAAUCCGGCGACAAGACACAACUCGCACGACCAAACAACGUUUUCGAUGUCGUGAUAAAAAAAAACACAUUAAAACAUAACAUUAAGCACAUCUGAAUUCUCUAUCCUGUUUCUGAAGCGUUGUGACGUCUCUUCAAAAUCGAAAAAUUCCUCUACUAACGAAAAUGUCCUUAUCAUUACCGUAAUCGGCUCAUGAUGACCAAACGAUGAACGAUGCGGGAGCGGUUGCUGCAAAUACGAGGAUCGUAGGAUGCGACUGGGAGCGCGAGAGUUCACCAUCUGGAGCAAGUCAGGUGCAUCAAUUUCACCACAAACUAGUUAGCAACGAAAGUGGCUUGUUGUAUACGUCUACUUCGCUCAAGCGUAUCCAGAUUCAGCAAUCGACAAGGUCAAGCAAGCUCUGCAACCGAUGGCAAUCGUCAAGAGUGGUUAGAUAUAUUUUUCAGUCGUCUGCGUAAAUCGAUACAAUGAGCGAUGCAUCGUUAUAAAAGAUCGGGAACAGCAGCGGUCCUACAUUGCUGUCUUGCGGAACUCCAGAAGAAACAGCAAACGGAGAUGAGGUGUGAGACUGAAGUUUGACACGGAGCGUUCUUCCAGAAAGGUAUGACCUCAACCAGUUGAUAAAUCCUUCAGAGGCACCAAGACGCGAAAGUUUUCUCAGUAGGAUCCGGUGGUCAAUUCGAUCGAAAGCGGGUUUUAUGUCGGUGUAGAUAGCAUCAAAUUGAGCACGUUCCUCUAGGUGGUUGACACAAUACGAUGAAAACUCUAGGAGAUUAGUGCUAACCGAGUGUCCUGGCAUAAAACCAUGUUGUACUAAUGAGAUAUAGCACCUGAUUUCGAAGAAGACAACUUCGUUUAUGAUCAGCUCAAAUAGCUUGGAUGCAGUAGAUGAGCUGGUUAUGCCACGAUAUUUAGUCACGAUACUUUUUGAAGACUGGAAACAUAAAGGAGUGCCCUCGGGGAUGCAUAAAGGAGUGCAUAAAGGAGUGCUUCCACACAUCAGGGAAAAUCCCUUGAUCCACCGAAGCUGUGUAGAUAUGGGAGAGUGGUAAAGCCAAAGCUGUAGCACAGCGGCAAAAAAACUAUUGCUGGAAUGCCAUCUGGGCUAGGAACUGUUGAUCAUUUCAACUUUUUCACACCCUUCUCUACCAUCUUUGAAGUAACAGCGAAUGACCGCAAAUCUGUUAAACCCUCCGGAACGUUAGCUGCAGCCCUCUCGGCUUCGGACGGGGUGGCUACAGCUACAAACACUGGAGCGUGUGUUUUCAAAACAAAUCACAAGUUUCAGGAACAGAAGACGACUCCCGAUCGCCCAAGAGCACCUUAGACUAGAUAUCUGCAGUUUUCCGCUUGGAAUCGACAAAAUUUCAGAAACUUCCGGGGUUCCUACGCAAGUUCGUCUGGACACGUAGCUAGUACGAUUUGUAGAGAUUUGUAGUUGCAGUUGGAGAACUGCAGCUUUGGAUCGAUUUCAUUGGUGGAAUAAAGUUGUGAAAAAGAUUCAAUCUCUUCAUUGAAUGUAGCAUCUUUGUAAACAAAUAAUAUAAAGAAAAAAAUUUUGAACCUCGUUAUAUUUUAUGGCACAUCUACCAUUGAGAAUACACACUAUUCAUUCUUGUUUGUGAUGUUAUACACGAAAUUACUCAACUAACACUCAAGUUAUGUAGUUGCUCAAAUCUCCCGUCAUUGAUGGAUAAGUUGUAUUAAUGGCAGCCACAGCUUUUUACCACCAUGUUCUUGUAUUUCUUAAGAUUCACAUUCGCCUCGUCUAUAUGAUAUAGAACGGAAAUUGGAAUCAACUUGGUUGGCGCACAGCACGGUUUUGGGACCUGCAAUUUAAACAUUCUUUUUUAUAGAAACAUAAAUGAUGGUAAGUAUUUCAAUUCUUUACUUUUGUUGGAUGCAUCAAAUGCACGAGCGUUUGAACAAUUGCGUGGUUCGUCGCAUUCAUGUGUGCGUUUAGUGGAAAGUUGCACUCGCCACUACAAUAAAAUGCUCCAUAGCCCUCGGGGGCAAUUAUCCAAUCCUGCGGGGAAAAACCCAUACCGUUGGAAAAAUAGUUCAAUUCUCUGAGAUUUCUUCCUACCUGCCAGUUUAAGUCUUUGAAGCUGACGUACAAGGUUUUUAUCUGGCAACUUUUAUGGUGGUCAAUUGUUUGCUCCAACAGCGGAUUUCGAUUCUCAGAUUUACUUUUCCGCUUUCGCUGUGUAUUUCGUUUGCUCCUCAUAUGAUUAUGUUGAAUGGGUUUUACGGUCUAUGGAGGGAUGAAUCUAUCGUUUAAAGCUAAAUAAAAUAAAAACAUAUUCCUUUUUACCUGUGAUCCCUUACAGUAGGCAACAAGAAAUGGUUGAUGUUUAUCGUCGCCUUUGGUAUUGACUAGACCUAUGUCGUCUAGCUUUAUUUCUUUACCUGGAUAUGAAUUGGAUAAGUUUUAAUCGUAGAAUUAUUUUCAUUUAUUCAUGGACGUUUGAUCAGUACUCCUUAACCCUCUACAGCCCAAGCCCGCCUUUAGACGGGCUUAGCGGAUUCUCUUUUCAAAUUAUUCAUUAUUUUCAAUGUUCACCCCCACUAGAACGUAUUUAGAAUAUUUUCAUCAAUCACACAUAAACAUUGUUUUUAAGCUGGCAGCUUUCUGCUAGGUGUAUUUUAUAUUGAAAGUCGGAAAUUCGAGAUAAAAGUGGAGUAGGUUUUUUUAGAUAAAUAAAAAACUUGGGCGAUAGAGGGUUAAGAAACAUUACCUGGAUUAUGUUUGAAAUAUGCUCCAAUAUAUAAACCCUUAUUCAGUUGAUUAUUGCCAAUCCAUUGCGAAACUACACUUGUCACAUUUAUCUCCAGCCAUCCAUCAUAACCCAAUCCCAAACUUGUUUCCGCUAUCUUCAUUAGCUCUGUUUCUCUGCAACGGGACAUGUUCAACUUGGAAAAGAACAAACAUGUUCAUUUAUUGGUUUUUCAAUGAAUAUAACUUACCCUUCAUAAUUAGUGAUUGAGUAGAUCGCUAUAGUUAUAUUGUCGUUCUCAUUUUUAUACUUAUUUUGUUCGUGUCUCUGGUAAAUACGUAAUUCGGCCAAGAUCAGCUCUGCUUCCGUAUCAUUUACGUCGAACCAGAGUCGUCGUCCCUUUUCAUGGCGUACUUCCGAAACGUGAUGGUCUGGGGAAAAAUCAAAUCAAUCUAUAUACAUUCUGUCCAACAUAUACCGGGAAUUUGUGUUUUAAAUAAAAUAUUUUAUUUCUAAUCAAAAUUUUCAUAACUGUUAAGGAAUUGCUUUCAGUCCACUCAGCGAAUUCGUUUUUGUGUCUUCAAUGCUGUCAAAACGGGCCCCACGAAGCGGUAAUUUGUGUUUCGGAAAUAGGAAAAAACCACACCGAUGUCUCGUCGUCAGGAUGAACGUGAGAUCAGAAUUUGGUCGUUCAAGCAUGUUUCAGCUACUCGAUUGCGAUGAAAAAUUCACAUUUUAGAGAGAAAUAAACACAUUUUACAUAAAAAAUAAUGAACGAUGAUUAAAUUUUCCGUUUAGAAUCAAUAUCCUUCAACACUAAACCUACCGAUGGUUCAUGUAUACCUAUUCCUACCACAGCGGGUCAAGUGACCCUUUAUAAAUAGUUAGUGAACAAUGACUCGAUUUAUAUAGUUUUGUUGAGAAACGUGGCAUACCAUAUUUCUUCUGUAUAUUUCGACAUCUUGGGAUAACAAUUUUUAACAAAAUAUUGAAAUUACAAUUUUUGACAGGUAAUAUAGCACUUUGGCUUGGAAUUGUUACUGUUAGCUCGCUUGGAUAGUCAGCAAUACAAUUAAUUCUGAUCAUUCACUAUUCAUUCACAAUAACAACAAAACAUAUAAAGCAAUAUGCAAAAAAUGUGUAAUACAAUGGUCUUGUAUCACAAUCACACAUACAAAUCUUUCUGAUAUCAUAAAAUGUUUGCAAGGGUCAAAUGACCCGUUGCGGUUGUUAAGGCAGAUAACAUAUAUUUCUCAAAAAAAUAAAUAAAUAAAUAACAAGAGAGGAUAAAACACUGAAAAAUAUAUUCGAUGUAUGUUUUAGGAAAAGAAGUGUAGACAAAUGAUGUUGUGACAAUCUAAUUUGCAAGUAAAUUUUGACUGAAAGUUUAAAAUGGGUCAUUUGACCCCUCGUGGUAGGUUCAGUGUUAACAGAGAAUGAAGUUUUCUGCAAAGGAUCUUGAAUGGUUUUUUUUCUGAUAAGGAUAUUUCACUACAAUGAUGAAAUUUUUGUGGGUAUAUUGAAAUACUUUUAAUACUGGACGAAUAAGAGUAAGGACUUCGAAGUUAAAUAUGCAAGAUCAACCAAUUAUUUAUAUUCAAUAUUAAAAAACUAAUAAUUUCAGGGAUGGUAAUCUAAGAGAGAGUAAUCUAAUUUGUGCUCCCGUGGCCGAGUGGUUAGCGUCAUAACUAACAUGCCGGGUGUUCGGGUUCGAUUCCCGUUCUGGUCGGGGGAAUUUUUCGUCAAAGAAAUUUCCUCCGACUUGCACUGUGAUCACGCGUAUUCUAGAGCUUGCCAUUCAGAAUGCAUUCAAGGCGUGUUAUUUGGCAUAGAAAUCUCAACUAAGUACUAAUAAAAAAUGACGCAAGUAAUACUACGCUGAGACGGCGAAGUUCCUCUAGGAACGUUAGUGCCAUUGAAGAAGAAGAAGAAGAAUCUAAGAGAGAGUAUACUUACUUCGUUACAAAUCAAAAAAAGAAAAAAACAAUCAUUACAAGUUCCGGCGUAUCCGAAAUAUUUCGAAACAAGUGCAAUCACGAUCCUUGUAUUUGGUGCUCAUUAAACUCUAAGCAGGACCCUCAACUGGCAAGUUUUGCUUAUCUUUCAGCUCCUUGCAUCAGUGUCCAGAGCGAAAGACUGUUUUGGCUAUUUUGUUAUGAUUCAUCUUUUGUGGAUGAGAAAUUAUUGCUUUUUUUUUCUAAUAUCCGGUAUUCGGCCCAAUAGCAAAUAUUGGCCGGAUAUGCCGGAUACCGGAUAGUUACCAGACGACAUCCAUUUCAUCUCUAGUUUGGACUGUUGUUGACUGCUUUCCGGUUAGAGAGUAACUGCCUGCUGUGAGGGUUGUGAUACAGUUUUGGAUUCUCUUCAAUAGCUGAAGAGAGGAUAUUAACUCAUCAACCUAAGAUUUAAUUUUCAACAGAGUGGACCAAACAAAUAAGCUUCGGUUGGUCACGCAUAGUGCAAUACACUGCUGAACGUUUAACACUCCUAUACUCGCGCAUUGGUCUGUCAGACCGAGAAAUCAAUAAUUCGUUCAUUUCUCAGAAAAUAUCAACACUACGACUUUGCGAUUCUCUCUAGCUUCGUUAUUCGUAGUUUGUCAUCGUUUAGCGUAUCGCAUGUUGGUACAAAGGGGACGUGUGCCACUUUUUUAACACUUCCGGUCUAACACACCGACGCGAGUAUAGGAGUAACUUUUUGGACAAGUGUCUUUUUUUCAUAUUCUAGAAUAUUGUUGAAUGAAAUGUAUAAAUUAAUGUUAGUGGCGUGGAAUAUUUAUUGAAUAUAAUGCAUAAGAUCAUUACCGGACUAUUCUUAUUUGAUUCAGUCCCUUUUGUUACUGGAUUGAACGGAUCCAUAUAUUAACUAUUCGUCGAUAUAUUCGUCGUUAGAUUCAUACGUUCAAAAGCAAAAUAUAAAUGUUUGACUUUCGUAUAGUUAUUCGCUAAAUAUAAUGGUCAUACAUAUACACACUUGUGAAAGAAUUUCACUUGUGGAAGAAUUGUAAACAGUAAACUAUAAACUAAUCAGUAGCUUAUGGUAAUUUUUAACAGUUACGGUUUCGGGGAUAUUUUUUUAUAAUGGACAAUAUCUAUCGACAAGAAAAGAAGAAAAAGAAAAGGAAAUUCCUAGAAAUCCUUUUAUAUCAUCCUUUUAUGCCUCAUCUAAAAAAAGGCAUUAAUUCUUAGUUUACCAAGAAAACAGAGACAAAGAAUAUUAGAAAUAUGCAAACUUUAUAUUCCAGAACCUUUAUCAUCUGGUGAUUAUCUAGGAGGUCGUUAUACAUUCUUCUCUUCGAUAAAAGACCCGAAAACACAUUUCGAUCAUGUAGUUAUGUUAUAAUAUGUUCUGAUUCUCACUCCAAUGAAACCACAAUCGAUAAAUACGUUUUUAUGUUAUUUUAUAGCUCUUUAUACUUCCAUGAAGGAAGGAAGGAAGGUAUUGAAUUAGAGAGACUUUAAACUCUGAGAGUUCAUUCGUCUCUUACUUCCAUGAGUUAUAUUCAGUUGCGUACAUUUAAUUAAUAACAGUGAAAAAUUCGAAUUUCGUUAUUUGUGUUGGAGUAUCAAAAAUUACUCUAUUUUGAGGAGGCUGAACUAGAUGACUAUUGAAACAUAAUAAAGACGAAGAAAACAUAUUUUUUGGAGUUUUUUCAUUCAGUCAUACCCGCUUCUUCAAAUAAAUGCCAAUAAAGCCAGAAAAAUACACAAUGGCAACAUUACAGAGAAGUUCAAUUUUCGGUCUGUGACACCGUGCGCGAGUAUACGUGUUAUGAUUUAGCACGCGAGUACAGGAGGGUUAAAAUCGCUCCAUGAUAUGCAAUUACACAGCGUGAAAACGUGAGGUUUUCGUACAACCAUAAUUGACGAAUCUACGCAAAGCUGCAUCAGCUCAUGCGACACCUAUAUUAGACCUCAGAACCACAGAAGUGGUGAUGUUUGUUUACUCUACGUACUUAAAAGCGAGAUUCGGUCGAGAUUCUAUUUCUAUUUAGAUUCAUUUCAACCAUUAAGUGUCGUCAGUACAUGGUAAGAAAGUUAGAGUUUUGUAAACCUUAAUCUGAAAGACCCUGUAAUAGGAAUUUUAUAGUGAAAGGAAAUUGUGAAGAGCUAAAUGGAAAUUGUAAAGAUCAAUCAAUGGAAUGUUCUGCGAUUGAACUCGCGAGCGUAAGAAAAGGUGACUUCCUCUCAGUAAUAUUCGAUAUUCUAAAUUUCGCUAACGAUUCAUCCAAUACUUACUUUUAUUCAAAAAUGUCAUAAUAAUAUCGCUUUGAUCGAUCGCUUUGUUGUCUGCUUCAGUGAAAAUAAUGUCCUCAUCGUUGUCGAUACUCCUUUUAUGUCGAGGCUGGAGAAUACUUGUUUCGGCUGAUAAUUUGUCAUACACGUUUAGAAGGAAUUGCGGGGCCGAUUUGCUAAAAGAAAUAGGGAGAAUGAACGUGUUUGUUUAUACAGUAUUUGGCGAUUAUCAUAUGGUCAUUACUGGUCACUUGACUCAGUUUUUUGACGUAGGAUUACGUCUUUCGGGAACAUAUUGGGGUUCAAAUUGAAAAUCGAAAAUCGAGUGCAUCGUGAAAAUUGUCCAAUUUCAAACGCUUAUUACUCAGUCAUUUCAUGAUGGAUUGAUUAAAUUUUUGCGUCAAUCGAUUUCGGCACAUCAUAACAAUUUUUUAUAUUGAAGAAAAUAAUAUAUGUCAUGAAACUUACUAUCGAACAAUUGAAAAAUCUAAACCCCUAUCCUAACGGAAAUACCCACUUUUCAUUGGUCGAAAUUGACGACACAUGCGGCGGGUCCCUAACAGAGACAACAAAACCAAGCUGCCUGAGGGAAAUCGACCUUGCAAAUACAUGAAAGUAGGGGAUCUUUUGUUCCUACCGAAAUGUGUUCCCUAACAGAGACAUCAAAACCAAGCUGCCUGGGGGAAAUCAGCAUUGCAAAUAUAUGCAAGUCGGGGGCAUUUUUGUAUUGCAAGUAAAGUGAGUAAUACGAUUAAUUCUAGCAAAUGAAAUUUAAAUUUGGAACUUUAAUGUUGGUUGCUUGGUGAAAUUUCAUAUCAAUGACUGAUUGUGUAUUGUGAAAGAUUUAACACAAGUGUAAGUGUAAAAUUGUAUAUGGUAGCAGUUGUGUUAAAAAUGACUUGAUAUAUGAAACGAUUUAUUUAAAUUUUCAUAAAUAAAAACCAAGGUGUGUUCCCGCUCGAGAACGGAUUGUUCGCUGUCUGUUUUGUUAUGUUCAUUUUCACCCAAGUAAAGUUUAUACAGCGAGAAAAAUUGGAAAAGUGAAAAUACAUUAGAAAAGGUGAUUUUCCAUAUGCUCUACAUAUAGUAUAAGAUGUUGUUAGUCCAAAUAAAAUUCGCAAUAAACACUCAGAAAGUAAACAUUAUAAAGAAAAUUAUUUUUUCCAUUUCAAAUAUGUUUUCUCUAUAUUAAAGUAACAUGUUUUAACUGAUGAGAAACAUUGAUAAUUGUCUUCGGUAUUGGUAAUUAUCUUAUAUUACAUUGGUGAGUUUUGUUUUUUUAUUUCAUCCAUACAUAUCACAGGAGGCAUCUCGUCUAGGUUCACAGAGGGCGGUUUUCAUCAUAUAUCGUUCCAAUUCGGUAUCUUUUAUCUGAUACGCACCAUCCAACGACUGUUUACCAUCCUUCUGUCAUCAUCACUCGGUAAACACUGGUGGAGUGAACAAACAAUACCCAACAACCAAACAAAUCGACCCUUUUCAGGACCACCAAAUAAUUAUC
Molecule: long non-coding RNA, 12305 nt
Organism: Toxorhynchites rutilus septentrionalis
Lineage: Eukaryota; Metazoa; Arthropoda; Insecta; Diptera; Culicidae
Exons: 3
Source: RefSeq, a predicted model, not a curated record